Molecule: transfer RNA, 27 nt
Filed under: Stipagrostis anomala
Lineage: Eukaryota; Viridiplantae; Streptophyta; Magnoliopsida; Poales; Poaceae
Description: partial tRNA-Phe
Source: RNAcentral
GGUCAGGAUAGCUCAGUUGGUAGAGCA